Long non-coding RNA from Gasterosteus aculeatus aculeatus (three-spined stickleback), 1522 nucleotides. Lineage: Eukaryota; Metazoa; Chordata; Actinopteri; Perciformes; Gasterosteidae. The record is from Ensembl.
UGCAAUAAAAUAAUCAAUUUUCUAACAGACCACUGCAACGCACUUUUUCCGUGCUGCUGUACAUGCCCCAGCUGCACGGGAUUACAACUCCUGCCUGCGUGCCAUGAUAUAUUACGCGACAACUUCUUAAUGUGUGCGUUUUCUCACAAAUCACGUGCACAAUUCUUUUUGCUCGUACCCGUUAAACCUGCUGAAAGGGAAAUCAGCAUGAACUCGCCUGUGUCACACUGUCUCCCCUUAGCGGACUGGCAAACCGCCCAGACAGCUGCUGCUUGCGUGCCACCACUGUUUGGGUAGAUAUGAAUCUGUGCUCUGGAGAAAACUGGGAUGAUUCACCAGUGAUUGUGUGUGUGUGUGUGUGUGUGUGCGCGUGCGUGUGUGCGUGUCAGUUAUAAGCUGAGGCCUUUUUACUGAAGUCUGUCUGCUCUCUCUACCUCAUUCUCACUUUUCAGCGGAACUACUUUUAAUAAAAUCGGGAGGGGUUAGAGGGUGAGGGCUGAUUCCUCUAUGAAAGAUUGCAUCAGUAGUAAUAAAAUGUGGAAUUCCACUUGUUUGUUAAAUAAAGGGACAGUGACAGAAAUCCUGCAUCCUUUUUUUUCUUCUCUGUGAUCAACAGCCCUGGCUUCGCUGCAUUAAAUCGAAUACAUUGAAAUAAGAGAGGCAGUAAGGCAGAAAGGUGCUAGAUGUGAGCCCUUAACAAAGGAUGCAAUGGAUAUUUUGAACCUCAUUUCUACAACCUCAUUGGCAUUAAAGUUCCCAUAUAAAAGUGGCAAUUUAUACAGAGGAAAGCCACAUGUGUAUCUCUGGCAACUUUAUUGAUUCCGGGCGCCCAAUAAAGAUGACAUUUGCUUGCUUUAAUAGAUCUUGUAAUUUGUCAAGCUAAGCCAAAAUGUAAUUUAUUCUCAGCAAUGGCAGAACCUCAGAAAGGUUAUGUAAGGGGCAUGUAAAAUGGAACCACAGUCACAGAAGAAAUAAGAAAUAACGAAGGAAAUAAGACAGAAAAAAAACAUUUUACAGAAUGAAACAUUGCUGCGCACAUUGUUUUACCUCCUGUCUUUCUCUCAAACACGCGUACACACAGGCAGAGGAACAUGCACUCUCUUUAUUCUAUUUAAAAGAAAAGCCUUGGUGUUUGAAAAGCUUUGGUGUCUUGUUUGAGCUGAAUAAAAGCGCAGACCUCCCUUUGAGGCAGCGCAUGUCAAACAGGGAGCAUUGAGCCAUCAAGCAAGGCGGUCAGAAGCAUUGUUGAGAAAUUGCACAUGGGGGUCCUGUGAUUUGGUCUUGGUUUAACGAGGGGGGAAAGGGAGGGGAGGAGCGAUUGUUUGGAUUUCCAAAGCUCUAGAAGACACAUCCAUACGUCCGGGGACGGAUUCCCCGGCCAUUUGCAAACAAUUGGUUGCUCAUCCAGGAGAUAAUGCCCACUUCCGCAAUUCCGUUCUGUCAUCCCUUCAAGUUUCGUUCCUCCUUCCUCUCCCGUCCGCACACUCCCAUCUCCGAGCCUUCUCGCCCUCCCUUCCAUUGU